Long non-coding RNA from Phacochoerus africanus (Common warthog), 388 nucleotides. RefSeq lists it as uncharacterized. Lineage: Eukaryota; Metazoa; Chordata; Mammalia; Artiodactyla; Suidae. The record is from RefSeq and is a predicted model, not a curated record. The transcript has 4 exons.
CAGCAAUCAUUUGCAGGAGAUAUUGAUCAAUCAGAGAAUGCACAUUUCUGAACCAGGCUUGACAUGGGUUCCAUGGAGCAUCCUGAAUAGCCACCAACACUUCAAGCUCCAUUAGAUUCAUCAGUCGGAAGACCUAUUGGCAGAAUAACUUGCGCUGUAGCCUGACUCAGCUUCUCCUGCUUUGGACUCCACUCAAAUAAAGAGUAACCUUAUGCAUUACACUGCAACAGGGUCAGAGGAGUACAUCCAUACACGAUCCCUGGUGAGGUUGAUGGGACAGUAGCAGGAACCUUGUUUUGUGGAUUUGGAAAUGGAAACCCAAGAGAGUCUGAGAAGCCCUAUGUGCCACAAGUACUCUGUCUGCCCCAGGCCACUGCCAGCAUCACGA